This 427-nucleotide ribosomal RNA is filed under the name uncultured bacterium. RNAcentral describes it as "bacterial SSU rRNA". It matches the Rfam family "Bacterial small subunit ribosomal RNA", at positions 504 to 930 of the family's 1533-position model. The record is from RNAcentral.
CGUGUCAGCCGCCGCGGUAAUACGUAGGUGGCAAGCGUUAUCCGGAAUUAUUGGGUGUAAAGGGUGCGUAGGCGGGAUGUAAAGUCAGAUGUGAAAUUUAUCGGCUUAACCGGUAGACUGCAUUUGAAACUUACGUUCUUGAGUGAAGUAGAGGCAAGCGGAAUUCCCAGUGUAGCGGUGAAAUGCGUAGAUAUUGGGAGGAACACCAGUGGCGAAGGCGGCUUGCUGGGCUUUUACUGACGCUGAGGCACGAAAGUGUGGGGAGCAAACAGGAUUAGAUACCCUGGUAGUCCACACUGUAAACGAUGAUUACUAGGUGUAGGGUGGUUGAACCAUUCUGUGCCGGAGUUAACACAAUAAGUAAUCCACCUGGGGAGUACGGCCGCAAGGUUGAAACUCAAAGGAAUUGACGGGGGCCCGCACAAGG